Molecule: ribosomal RNA, 817 nt
Filed under: uncultured bacterium
Lineage: Bacteria
Description: bacterial SSU rRNA
Rfam family: Bacterial small subunit ribosomal RNA
Source: RNAcentral
UGCAAGUCGAGCGAUGAAACACCUUCGGGUGUGAAUUAGCGGCGAACGGGUGAGGAACACGUGAAGAAUCUGCCUUCAACUCUGGGAUAACUCCGGGAAACCGGGGCUAAUACCGGAUAUGAGCCUCGAUCGCAUGAUUGGGGCUGGAAAGUUUUUCGGUUGAAGAUGACUUCGCGGCCUAUCAGCUUGUUGGUGAGGUAAUGGCUCACCAAGGCGACGACGGGUAGCCGGCCUGAGAGGGCGACCGGCCACACUGGGACUGAGACACGGCCCAGACUCCUACGGGAGGCAGCAGUGGGGAAUAUUGGGCAAUGGAGGAAACUCUGACCCAGCGACGCCGCGUGAGGGAUGAAGGCCUUCGGGUUGUAAACCUCUUUCAGUAGGGAAGAAGCGAAAGUGACGGUACCUACAGAAGAAGCACCGGCUAACUAUGUGCCAGCAGCCGCGGUAAUACAUAGGGUGCAAGCGUUGUCCGGAAUUAUUGGGCGUAAAGAGCUCGUAGGUGGUUCGAUACGUCGGAUGUGAAAAUCAGGGGCUCAACCCCUGACCUGCAUCCGAUACGGUCGAGCUAGAGUUUGGUAGGGGAGACUGGAAUUCCUGGUGUAGCGGUGGAAUGCGCAGAUAUCAGGAGGAACACCGAUGGCGAAGGCAGGUCUCUGGGCCAAUACUGACACUGAGGAGCGAAAGCGUGGGGAGCGAACAGGAUUAGAUACCCUGGUAGUCCACGCCGUAAACGGUGGGCGCUAGUUGUGCGAACCUUCCACGGUUUGCGCGACGCAGCUAACGCAUUAAGCGCCCCGCCUGGGGAGUACGAUCG